This 254-nucleotide ribosomal RNA is filed under the name uncultured bacterium. RNAcentral describes it as "partial 16S ribosomal RNA". It matches the Rfam family "Bacterial small subunit ribosomal RNA", at positions 524 to 776 of the family's 1533-position model. The record is from RNAcentral.
UACGUAGGUGGCAAGCGUUGUCCGGAUUUACUGGGCGUAAAGAGCGCGCAGGCGGUCGUUCAAGUCGCGUGUGAAAGCCCCCUGGCUCAACUGGGGAGGGUCACGCGAUACUGAUCGACUCGAAGGCAGGAGAGGGUAGUGGAAUUCCCGGUGUAGUGGUGAAAUGCGUAGAUAUCGGGAGGAACACCAGUGGCGAAGGCGACUACCUGGCCUGUUCUUGACGCUGAGGCGCGAAAGCUAGGGGAGCAAACGGG